GAUGAACGCUGGCGGCGUGCCUAAUACAUGCAGGUCGAGCGAAUGGAUUAAGAGCUUGCUCUUAUGAAGUUAGCGGCGGACGGGUGAGUAACACGUGGGUAACCUGCCCAUAAGACUGGGAUAACUCCGGGAAACCGGGGCUAAUACCGGAUAACAUUUUGAACCGCAUGGUUCGAAAUUGAAAGGCGGCUUCGGCUGUCACUUAUGGAUGGACCCGCGUCGCAUUAGCCAGUUGGUGAGGUAACGGCUCACCAAGGCAACGAUGCGUAGCCGACCUGGGAGGGUGAUCGGCCACACUGGGACUGAGACACGGCCCAGACUCCUACGGGAGGCAGCAGUAGGGAAUCUUCCGCAAUGGACGAAAGUCUGACGGAGCAACGCCGCGUGAGUGAUGAAGGCUUUCGGGUCGUAAAACUCUGUUGUUAGGGAAGAACAAGUGCUAGUUGAAUAAGCUGGCACCUUGACGGUACCUAACCAGAAAGCCACGGCUAACUACGUGCCAGCAGCCGCCGUAA
Molecule: ribosomal RNA, 515 nt
Filed under: uncultured bacterium
Lineage: Bacteria
Description: partial 16S ribosomal RNA
Rfam family: Bacterial small subunit ribosomal RNA
Source: RNAcentral